RNA transcript from Caretta caretta (loggerhead turtle), 6578 nucleotides. It is a transcript of the gene named ELKS/RAB6-interacting/CAST family member 2, with no coding region annotated. The record is from RefSeq and is a predicted model, not a curated record. Lineage: Eukaryota; Metazoa; Chordata; Testudines; Cheloniidae.
GCAAACCAAAGAGCCAGGCUCGCAGUUUACUGAGAGAGACUCGCUGAGGGACAGAAAGACGAGGGAUAGAAAUACACAAACCUUUCCUGACUGCAGCAGACUCCCUCUCUCCCUUGCCUCUUAAAUGUUCGCCUGUUCCAGCUCUCCACGCUGCCUCUUUCCUCAGUGUAAUCAGCUGUCAGCUAGACUUGAUGUUGUAAAAUCCAUGUGAGGAGGAAAGACAGAUGCAAUGAUUUGAAAGAUCUUCAGUGUUUGAGAAGUUAUCAGUUUUUUCCUACUCGAAGAAUGCAGUGAAACCAUUUGCCAGCAUUAUUAUCUGGAAUUAUAGGUUUGAUAUCCAGCAUCAGUGUUACUAAUUUCUUAUUAAAUAGUACCUCACAGUAGUAGAAAAAUGUAUGGAAGUGCAAGAACAAUCAGUAAUUUGGAAGGCAGUCCUUCCAGGUCUCCUCGUUUGCCAAGAUCUCCUCGUCUGGGCCACAGGAGAACAAGCAGCGGGGGAGGAACAGGUAAGACACUAUCAAUGGAAAACAUCCAGUCCCUUAAUGCAGCCUAUGCAACAUCUGGACCGAUGUAUCUUAGUGACCAUGAAGGUGUAGCGUCUACUACUUUCCCAAAGGGCACAAUGACUCUUGGAAGGGCUGCAAAUCGAGCUGUGUAUGGUGGUCGAGUCACAGCUAUGGGGAGUAGUCCAAAUAUUGCUUCAGCUGGACUUUCUCACACAGAUGUCCUUUCUUAUACUGAUCAGCAUGGAGGUCUGACCACAUCUUCACAUCAUCAUCAUCAUCAAGUUCCCUCUAUGCUGAGACAGGUAAGGGAUAGCACCAUGCUAGAUCUACAGGCUCAGCUCAAGGAACUACAAAGAGAGAAUGAUCUUCUGAGAAAAGAACUGGAUAUCAAGGACAGUAAGCUGGGAUCUUCCAUGAAUAGCAUCAAGACUUUUUGGAGUCCUGAGCUAAAAAAGGAAAGAGUCUUGAGGAAAGAAGAAGCUGCCAGAAUGUCAGUUCUUAAAGAGCAGAUGAGGGUUUCUCAUGAAGAGAACCAGUUUUUGGAUGCCAGGAGAACAAAGCAUUUGCAACUGACCAUCCAGGCACUUCAAGAUGAGCUUCGAACUCAGAGAGACCUUAAUCAUCUUCUUCAACAAGAAAGCGGAAACCGAGGAACUGAGCAUUUUACUAUUGAGCUUACAGAGGAGAAUUUUCGAAGACUUCAGGCAGAACACGAUAGACAGGCUAAAGAGCUCUUUCUCUUGAGAAAAACUCUAGAAGAAAUGGAGUUGAGAAUUGAAACACAAAAGCAAACACUAAAUGCUAGAGAUGAAUCAAUAAAAAAGCUCCUAGAAAUGUUGCAAAGUAAAGGUUUGCCAUCCAAAGGAAUGGAAGAUGACAAUGAAAGAGCUCGAAGGAUGGCCGAGGCUGAAUCUCAGGUUAAUCAUUUAGAAGUGAUUUUAGACCAGAAGGAGAAGGAAAACAUACAUCUUAGAGAGGAACUACACAGAAGAACCCAACUUCAGCCUGAACCAGCAAAGACAAAAGCUCUUCAGACAGUUAUAGAGAUGAAGGACACAAAAAUAGCUUCACUUGAACGCAAUAUAAGGGAUCUCGAAGAUGAAAUACAGAUGUUAAAGACAAACGGAGUUCUGAAUAUAGAGGACCGAGAAGAAGAGAUCAAACAAAUAGAAGUUUACAAGAGUCACUCAAAGUUCAUGAAAAAUAAGAUUGACCAAUUGAAACAGGAACUUUCAAAGAAAGAAUCAGAACUUCUCGCCUUACAAACUAAGCUUGAAACCCUUAGCAAUCAGAAUUCAGAUUGCAAGCAACACAUUGAAGUGCUUAAAGAGUCGCUUACUGCCAAAGAACAGAGAGCUGCCAUACUUCAGACAGAGGUUGAUGCCUUGAGAUUACGACUGGAAGAAAAAGAAACAUUUCUUAAUAAAAAAACAAAACAACUGCAAGACCUCACAGAAGAGAAGGGAACCUUGGCUGGAGAGAUUCGAGAUAUGAAAGACAUGUUAGAAGUAAAGGAAAGAAAAAUCAAUGUCCUUCAGAAAAAGAUUGAAAAUCUACAGGAGCAACUUAGGGACAAAGAUAAACAGCUAACCAAUUUAAAAGACAGAGUGAAAUCGUUGCAGACGGAUUCCAGUAACACGGACACAGCUCUAGCAACAUUAGAAGAAGCUCUGUCAGAGAAGGAGAGAAUAAUAGAGCGCUUGAAGGAGCAGAGGGAACGGGAUGACCGAGAAAGACUGGAAGAAAUAGAAUCCUUCAAAAAGGAAAACAAAGACUUGAAGGAGAAAGUUAAUGCUUUACAAGCUGAACUAACAGAGAAGGAGUCUAAUUUAAUUGACCUCAAAGAACAUGCAUCAUCAUUGGCAUCAACAGGGCUGAAAAGAGACUCCAAAUUAAAGUCUUUAGAAAUAGCCAUAGAACAAAAGAAAGAAGAAUGUAGUAAGUUGGAAGCACAGCUGAAAAAGCAAGCUGAACAGUUGUUCAAUCAGAUGUACAAUCCAAUGCCAAUUAGGAAUAAUGGGAAACAAGGGGCUCAUGAAGCUGAAGAAGAAGCUCGACUGAACCCAGAAUUUGCAGACAGAAUGAAACAGCUUGACAAAGAGGCAUCUUACUACAGAGAAGAAUGUGGUAAAGCUCAAGCUGAGGUUGACAGACUUCUAGAAAUCCUCAAGGAAGUAGAGAAUGAGAAGAAUGACAAAGAUAAGAAAAUUGCUGAGCUAGAAAGCUUGACUUCCAGACACACGAAAGAUCAAAACAAGAAAGUGGCCAAUCUGAAGCACAAUCAACAAAUGGAAAAAAAGAAGAAUGCGCAGUUGCUGGAAGAAGUUCGUAGGCGAGAAGACAAUAUGACAGACAACUCUCAGCACUUGCAGUUAGAAGAACUGAUGAAUGCACUGGAAAAGACCAGACAAGAAUUGGAUGCUACCAAAGCCCGUCUUGCCUCAACACAGCAGUCUCUGGCUGAGAAAGAAGCACAUCUGGCUAACCUCAGAAUAGAGCGGAGAAAACAGCUUGAAGAAAUAUUAGAAAUGAAGCAGGAAGCACUGCUUGCUGCAAUCAGUGAAAAAGAUGCAAACAUAGCCUUGCUUGAACUGUCUGCUUCAAAGAAGAAGAAGACUCAAGAGGAAGUAAUGGCUCUUAAACGAGAGAAAGACAGAUUAGUACAUCAGUUAAAACAACAGGUCUAUAGAAAUAGGAAACAGCCCCUGAGCAUGAACAUAUCAUCCAUUUGUGAUGCUGACUUCAUCACAGACAUUGCUGCCAAGUACCUGGGUUCCAGCCAUGAUGCACAUAUGUCUCAGACACAGAACAGAAUGAAACUGAUGGCAGACAACUAUGAUGAUGACCAUCACCACUUCCACCACCACCAUCAUCACCACCACCACCGGUCUCCUGGGAGGACCCAGCACUCAAAUCACCGACCCUCUCCAGAUCAGGAUGAUGAGGAGGGUAUAUGGGCAUAGCCAUUCCUAUAAACGAAAGUUCCAGUUUUAUUCUGAGGGAUGAUCCAGUCACUGUUGGAGGCACAUAGCCAUGGCAAAUCUCACGCUGUACAUUGAUCACCUGUCCAACCUUUGCCUAGAGUGUGAUCCCCAGUUCCUUCAAGAGAUCCAUCUUUACCUGUCUAUAAAGAGGAGGAGGAAGAGAGAGACAUCUGGGAUAAUCACAUAUCAAAGAUUAACACCAGAGCAGUUAUCAGAGGAGCUGGAGAAAGAAGAGGAAAAAAUGCAGCACUGCAGAAUUAAACUGAUACUCUAUUGCAGUGGAUCUCCAAAUGUAACCAUGACAUCCUGGAGCAGAUCAUAGAAACAGAAGAUGAAUGCUGAGGUUGUUAACAGAUGAAAUGCUGCAUAAAUUGGUGUCUUCUCCAUUAUUUCUUGUAGUCAUUAUGAAGUCAGAUACUCUGGAUGAUAAUGAAGGGGACUCAGUCAGAAAUUAUAAGAACUUCAUUUCCAGCUUUAAUGGGCCUUGUGUUCAGAAUAUUAUUAUUUAAUGAAGUUCAGUUAAAUGGAGUCUUUUAAGCAAUGCUGAUUAAUUGGUAUUGAUUUUUAAUGUGUAAUUCAGGUUCUGUUAGGUGCAGUAUCUUCAUCUGCUGAUUCUGCCUAGCGUAUUCUACAGUAACACUUCUAAAGUGCAUUCAAGGAAUUAGUACACUGUUAUAUAAUGGAGUCUGCGUUAAUCUUACCCCCAGUUAGAAGUGGGCUUUUCAGAAAAGUAAAAACUAAGUAAAAGCCUCCUCUGUUUUCUUAUCUACUGUUACUCAAAUAAUCACAUUUUGAUAGUGUAACGAGUAUUAAGCUCUGGGCCAGGUUGGAAAUGAAAUCAAUUUUUGGUACUACUUGCUGUUGGCAAGGAUUAGCCUUAUGAAAAUAUGAUGUGUGUCUCUGACAAUGCAUGGGGCAUCUAAAUUGAUCAUCAAUAAUUUACAUACCAAAUUUAUAUAUUAGUGGAUGGUAAAAGCUUGAGGUAUGAAAAUGUACAUAUGUGUAUACAUGCACACAUAUACAGAAGUGGAUCAACCUUUUACCAUCCACAUGCAUACAGGUAUGUAUUAAUAAAACCUGGGACUCAUAAAUAUAUCAAGAUAAGAAUGCUGUGAAUACAGUAUAUGCGUUAGGCCUCCUAUAAAUGAAGGACCAUUUGUCAUUGUUUUCUAUAGUGAACAAACAGCCUCCAUCAUGGAUCCCAAUGAAUUUUCAAUGUUAAACAAGAAAAUAUCAGUGAGUAAGGAGAAAUGAAAAGCUGUCUGUAUCAACAAAGAAUUUCAAGUAAAGAUGAAUAAUUUAAAGCACAUGCCAGGAAAAAGAAAAAUCUGAAGUCUUUCUAAUGGAGUGAUGAGACACAAAUGAGAGUUAAAUCUCUACCACUUCCUCAGAGAGAGGAUCCUUACAACUUCAUAACCAUUUUCAGUCAGUCUGGCAAACAUGCAAAUGUUCAGCUGUUUUACUGAUGCAUCUCUCUUUUUGUCAGUGGAAGAAGUACUUCUAUACUGACGUGAGUGGCAAUUGAAUAUUUGCAUUAUUAAAGGACAAACAAUGAAUUUAAGCAUGGGUGGCCUUAAUUCUUAGUAGUUUUUUCUUUGCUGCUGUAAAAAAAGGAUUCUAAUGUGGUUAUUCCAAAAGUCUUGCACUGAAUUUAGAAAAAUGUUAUUUUUUUAAAUCAUUGGUGCAAUUAUCCCUGAAGUAACAUCCUGUGUGAGCCAUACCUAUAUUAACCCCUUUAAAAUGAUUGUUGUGUAGAAAACAGUAUCUUAUUUAGUUGUACCAUCAUUUUUGGUACAAAUAAAGAGCAACUAAGUCAAGCAGGAGUCCUUCUUGAUGUUUCAUCUCAGUAAAUAGAAUAAAAUGUAUGGAAUUAGGAUAGCAUAAGUGAUCCAAAUUCAUUCAUGUUUAAAAAGUUUGUCCUUUAACUAUCAAUGGAAUUUUAGAUCUUUGUUUUCAAAACAGCAAAGCUCUUGGAGUUUAUUUAGCACAUAUGACAAAUGUUGCACUUGCAAACUCAGACAACAGAACUAGUUUCUUGUGAAGAACUUGUUGUCACAGUAAGGGACAACCUUCUGUGUCUCUUACAAUCAGGUCUUUACCUUAACUCUGCAACUGAAUACUUGAAGUAGGAAAUAAACUAGGGGAAAAUAGGGUCAUAAAAACAAAACUGUAUAGUUAGAUAUUUAUAUGUAUGUGCCAAUUUUGUCACAGACAUUAUUUUAGGAGCACUUUUUGCUCCAUUCAUAUUGUAAGAGUAUUGACCUAAACUUUUAUCAGGGGCUAUGAGUUAGUCCCGAAAGAAAAAGAAAUUGUCUAACAUUUUGUUUUUUUCAUUUCAUGUGAUAUCUAUGAUGUUUGGAGAAAAAUCUUUUCAUAUACUGAAAUAGAAUCUCGGGGUUUACAAUAAACACUGUGAUGUUGGGAAAAUAUUUUAUUUCAGCAAUGUUUGGUAGUUUCCCCCCCCUUCCAAAUGUAACCAAUUAAACCAACUUUUGGCUAACAUUUAAGAUAAUUAUUAUUUUAGUGUGGAAUCAGGCUUGUACUGCACAUUCUUUCUUUCAUUUAAAUGUACAGUAUGAAUUUUGUAUUUAAUUAAUUUUGUGUAUCUAGUAUGCACGUAACUGCACAUUGACUUUCAUUUGAAAGUGGGUUUAAAUUUCUUUUUCAACAGUGUUUAUGAAAAGACCUCAGAUGUGUUGACACAAACUAUAUCUGCAAUGUGUGUGGGGGGAGGGUUGUUUUUUUGUGUAGAGUGAUGUUGGAAUGUGAUGUUCUACAACAAUGGGUCAGUAUUCUCUAUUUACCUUAACCCCUCAUUUGAUAGUGCUUCAUGUAAUAAUUUUCUCAAGUGAGUGGCAUGUUCUGGAUUGUGAUAUUGAUAUGUGGUUAAGGACAUUGAUAUGAAACUAAGGAAUCCUUAGAAAUUACCAGUGGGCAUGUAUUAGACAGUCAUUGUAAUUUAAUGUCCAGUAAAAGUGUGAAGUACCAAGGUAUUUAGAGAUCAUAACAUUAUUAUCAUGUGUAUGGGAAGUACUUACUGUUGAUCAGCUUGUUUCUAUUCAUCAAAUAAACUGUUUCUUUCUGAAAA